CUUCAUUCCCCACCCUGUUAGGUCAUAUAUCUAAAUACUAUUUUCUUUUUGUGUUGUAAAUCAAAUAGGCCAACUGCUGAAACCAUUGGGCUACGAUUUCGGCAUAAGGCCCAGAUAACCCAUUAAGCUAAAUUUUCUCUUCUUCUUUCUCUUUCAUUCUCUUCGUCUACUCUUUUUCUGCGUAUCUCCGAAGCAGGAAAAAAGGAAAUAGAAAACGCAGAUGGAAGAACCACAAAACGGCAAUACAAAUUUGAAUACAGUCGCGGAGGUGGAGGAGCUGGUAAUAGGACCCGGACCCGCCCCUCGAGCCCGACCCAAGCGCCCGCUCCAGUUCGAACAAGCAUAUCUCGAUUCCCUUCCUUCGGCUAACAUGUAUGAGAAAAGUUAUAUGCAUCGUGAUGUGGCUACUCAUGUCGCUGUAUCGUCUGCAGAUUUUUUCAUUACUGGAAGUGUUGAUGGGCAUUUGAAAUUUUGGAAGAAAAAAGCUAUUGGGAUCGAGUUUGCAAAGCAUUUUAGAUCCCACCUGGGUCCCAUUGAAGGUCUAGCGGUUAGUGCAGAUGGUUUACUUUGUUGUACAAUUUCCAAUGAUCGUUCGGUGAAGGUAUAUGACGUGGUCAACUAUGACAUGAUGGUCAUGCUUCGCCUACCUUAUGUUCCUGGUGCUGUUGAAUGGGUCUACAAGCAAGGGGAUGUUAAAGCUAAGCUUGCCAUUAGUGAUAGAAAUUCAUCAUUGGUGCAUAUAUAUGAUGCACGAGCUGGUUCAAAUGAACCUAUCAUCUCGAAAGAGAUACACCUGGGCCCAGUGAAAGUAAUGAGGUACAAUUCUGUAUUCGACAGUGUUAUAUCUGCUGAUGAGAGGGGAAUUAUUGAGUAUUGGAGCCCUACCACACUUCAGUUCCCAGAAAGCGAGGUUAAUUUUAGAUUGAAAAGUGACACUAAUCUCUUUGAAAUUGCAAAAUGCAAGACAACCAUUUCUGCCAUUGAGGUGAGCCCAGAUGGUAAGCAAUUUUCUAUUACAUCACCUGAUCGUAGGAUACGUGUCUUUUGGUUCAGAACUGGUAAAUUAAGGCGAGUUUAUGAUGAAUCACUUGAGGUGGCCCAAGAUCUUCAGAGAAGUGAUGCUCCCAUGUAUCGGCUGGAAGCUAUCGACUUUGGCAGAAGAAUGGCUGUUGAAAAGGAAAUUGAAAAAACCGAAAUGGCUCCUCAACCAAAUGCAGUUUUUGAUGAAAGCUCCAAUUUCCUCAUAUAUGCUACUCUUCUUGGGAUAAAAAUGGUAAAUUUACACACCAACAAAGUUGCUCGAAUACUUGGAAAAGUGGAGAGCAAUGACAGAUUCUUGAGAAUUGCAUUAUAUCAAGGUGAUCGAAGUAGCAAGAAAGUAAGAAAAAUUCCUGCUGCUGCAGCAAAUGUCAAUGAAAGCAAAGAGCCAUUAACCGAUCCAACUCUCUUGUGUUGUGCUUUCAAGAAGCAUAGGAUCUAUUUAUUCAGUCGACGAGAACCAGAAGAACCUGAAGAUGCCACAAAAGGAAGGGAUGUCUUUAAUGAAAAGCCACCUGCUGAUGAGCUUCUGGCUGUAUCUGAUAUUGGGAAAGCAGUUACAACAUCUCUUCCUGACAAUGUGAUACUGCACACCACAAUGGGUGAUGUUCACAUGAGACUCUACCCAGAAGAAUGUCCAAAAACUGUGGAGAACUUCACAACACACUGUCGGAAUGGCUAUUAUGAUAAUCUCAUCUUUCACCGUGUCAUUAAAGGAUUCAUGAUACAAACAGGAGAUCCAUUGGGAGAUGGCACUGGUGGGCAGUCUAUUUGGGGAAGGGAAUUUGAGGAUGAGUUUCAUAAAAGUUUACGACAUGACAGGCCUUUCACAGUUUCGAUGGCUAAUGCUGGCCCAAAUACAAAUGGCUCUCAGUUUUUUAUAACCACAGUGGCCACUCCGUGGCUGGACAAUAAGCAUACAGUAUUUGGCAGAGUUGUUAAGGGAAUGGAUGUUGUGCAGGGGAUUGAGAAAGUGAAGACAGACAAAGCUGACAAGCCAUAUCAAGAUGUAAAAAUCUUAAAUGUGACUGUGCCAAAGUCUUAAGUUUCUUCCUGUGGUGAAUCUUUCUAGGUACUUUUUGACCUGCAUUGAACAUUGGCCAUGGGAGACUAUAUAUCUCAGAUAAGUGGUAUAUCAGGCUUGAACAUGAUUGGAAUCAGAAGUUUUUUACUCAUCAUUAUGCAGUCAUAGGUCGAGGAGGUCUCGAUCUUCAGUUUCUGU
RNA transcript from Durio zibethinus, 2260 nucleotides. It is a transcript of the gene named peptidyl-prolyl cis-trans isomerase CYP71, with no coding region annotated. The record is from RefSeq and is a predicted model, not a curated record. Lineage: Eukaryota; Viridiplantae; Streptophyta; Magnoliopsida; Malvales; Malvaceae.